RNAcentral lists this ribosomal RNA (501 nucleotides) under uncultured bacterium. Its description in RNAcentral is "partial 16S ribosomal RNA". It matches the Rfam family "Bacterial small subunit ribosomal RNA", at positions 30 to 523 of the family's 1533-position model. The record is from RNAcentral.
AUUGAACGCUGGCGGCAGGCUUAACACAUGCAAGUCGAGCGGGGGAAGGUAGCUUGCUACCGGACCUAGCGGCGGACGGGUGAGUAAUGCUUAGGAAUCUGCCUAUUAGUGGGGGACAACAUCUCGAAAGGAAUGCUAAUACCGCAUACGCCCUACGGGGGAAAGCAGGGGAUCUUCGGACCUUGCGCUAAUAGAUGAGCCUAAGUCGGAUUAGCUAGUUGGUGGGGUAAAGGCCUACCAAGGCGACGAUCUGUAGCGGGUCUGAGAGGAUGAUCCGCCACACUGGGACUGAGACACGGCCCAGACUCCUGCGGGAGGCAGCAGUGGGGAAUAUUGGACAACGGGCGGAAGCCUGAUCCAGCCAUGCCGCGUGUGUGAAGAAGGCCUUUUGGUUGUAAAGCACUUUAAGCGAGGAGGAGGCUACUUAGAUUAAUACUCUGGGAUAGUGGACGUUACUCGCAGAAUAAGCACCGGCUAACUCUGUGCCAGCCGCCGCAGUAA